This 460-nucleotide ribosomal RNA is filed under the name uncultured bacterium. Its description in RNAcentral is "partial 16S ribosomal RNA". It matches the Rfam family "Bacterial small subunit ribosomal RNA", at positions 338 to 795 of the family's 1533-position model. The record is from RNAcentral.
CCUACGGGUGGCUGCAGUGAGGAAUAUUGGUCAAUGGACGGAAGUCUGAACCAGCCAUGCCGCGUGCAGGAAGACGGCUCUAUGAGUUGUAAACUGCUUUUGUACAAGGGUAAACCUGAAUACGUGUAUUCAGCUGAAAGUACUGUACGAAUAAGGAUCGGCUAACUCCGUGCCAGCAGCCGCGGUAAUACGGAGGAUCCAAGCGUUAUCCGGAUUUAUUGGGUUUAAAGGGUGCGUAGGCGGAUUGAUAAGUUAGAGGUGAAAUGUCCGAGCUUAACUCGGGAACUGCCUCUAGUACUGGUGAUCUGGAGAGUAGAUGAGGUAGGCGGAAUGUGUGGUGUAGCGGUGAAAUGCUUAGAGAUCGUACAGAACCCCGAUUGCGAAGGCAGCUUACCAAGCUGUAUCUGACGUUGAGGCACGAAAGCGUGGGGAGCGAACAGGAUUAGAUACCCUUGUAGUC